GGUUGGACAGGAAACUGCUUCAAGAUUUUAAGCUUAUUGGGUGGGGAGCU
Molecule: non-coding RNA, 50 nt
Filed under: unclassified sequences
Description: Na+-I sequence
Rfam family: Na+ riboswitch aptamer (DUF1646)
About the family: Proteobacteria, NC10, Acidobacteria, Verrucomicrobia. Lineage (Clostridia) The riboswitch of Na+ was first reported in a comparative analysis of intergenic regions and called DUF1646 RNA, it was also suggested that it acts as cis-reg RNA present upstream of Na+ genes. Afterward it was reported as a riboswitch that selectively senses Na+.
Source: Rfam by way of RNAcentral